UACGGGGGGGGCAAGCGUUGUUCGGAAUUACUGGGCGUAAAGGGCUCGUAGGCGGCCAACUAAGUCAUACGUGAAAUCCCUCGGCUUAACCGGGGAACUGCGUCUGAUACUGGAUGGCUUGAGUUCGGGAGAGGGAUGCGGAAUUCCAGGUGUAGCGGUGAAAUGCGUAGAUAUCUGGAGGAACACCGGCGGCGAAGGCGGCAUCCUGGACCAACACUGACACUGAGGAGCGAAAGCCAGGGGAGCAAACGGG
Molecule: ribosomal RNA, 253 nt
Filed under: uncultured bacterium
Lineage: Bacteria
Description: partial 16S ribosomal RNA
Rfam family: Bacterial small subunit ribosomal RNA
Source: RNAcentral